This 440-nucleotide ribosomal RNA is filed under the name uncultured bacterium. RNAcentral describes it as "partial 16S ribosomal RNA". It matches the Rfam family "Bacterial small subunit ribosomal RNA", at positions 338 to 795 of the family's 1533-position model. The record is from RNAcentral.
CCUACGGGAGGCAGCAGUGGGGAAUAUUGCACAAUGGGGGAAACCCUGAUGCAGCGACGCCGCGUGAGUGAAGAAGUAUUUCGGUAUGUAAAGCUCUAUCAGCAGGGAAGAAAAUGACGGUACCUGAUUCAGAAGCCCCGGCUAACUACGUGCCAUCAGCCGCGGUAAUACGUAGGGGGCAAGCGGUAUCCGGAUUUACUGGGUGUAAAGGGAGCGUAGACGGCAGCACAAGUCUGGAGUGAAAUGCCGGGGCUUAACCCCGGAACUGCUUUGGAAACUGUGCAGCUAGAGUGCAGGAGAGGUAAGUGGAAUUCCUAGUGUAGCGGUGAAAUGCGUAGAUAUUAGGAGGAACACCAGUGGCGAAGGCGGCUUACUGGACUGUAACUGACGUUGAGGCUCGAAAGCGUGGGGAGCAAACAGGAUUAGAUACCCUUGUAGUC